Molecule: ribosomal RNA, 301 nt
Filed under: uncultured bacterium
Lineage: Bacteria
Description: partial 16S ribosomal RNA
Rfam family: Bacterial small subunit ribosomal RNA
Source: RNAcentral
CAGCCGCCGCGGUAAUACGUAGGGUGCAAGCGUUAAUCGGAAUUACUGGGCGUAAAGCGUGCGCAGGCGGUGAUGUAAGACAGUUGUGAAAUCCCCGGGCUCAACCUGGGAACUGCAUCUGUGACUGCAUUGCUGGAGUGCGGCAGAGGGGGAUGGAAUUCCGCGUGUAGCCGUGAAAUGCGUAGAUAUGCGGAGGAACACCGAUGGCGAAGGCAGCCCCCUGGGCCAACACUGACGCUCAUGCACGAAAGCGUGGGGAGCAAACAGGAUUAGAGACCCGAGUAGUCCCUGUCUCUUAUAC